GUGGUGUAUCCAAAAAAAUGGUGAAGGAACUGUGAGGGAUGUCAGAGUUAAGCCCAAAUUUGAGUAUGUGGAUGAAUUAUUUGAGAGUGUGUUGCUGUCAAUAAAAGACAAAGACGCAUUAUCAAAUUCACAAAAUUUUUUGAAAGAAAUGUCCCCACCACCAAUGAAUGUCAUGCUGCCAAAGCAACCCAGAUCUGAGGUGAUACUAAAACAGGUCCGUUGAAAAUGCAUUGUGGUCAAUGAUGUCCCCCCCUCAAUUCCAGGUAAUUAAUAAUGAUUAUAUAACAUGUAGCUAAAAAUGGUUUGAAAAUCAUUUUAAACAAUAAAAAUGUUUUUGUUUCAUGCCAGCAGCUACAAGUGUGCCAUUCAGCUGUCAGUCAAAUGUGGCAGUUUCAAA
Xenia sp. Carnegie-2017 is the source of this 397-nucleotide long non-coding RNA. RefSeq lists it as uncharacterized. NCBI's taxonomy places the organism in Eukaryota, Metazoa, Cnidaria, Anthozoa, Malacalcyonacea, Xeniidae. The record is from RefSeq and is a predicted model, not a curated record. The transcript has 2 exons.